RNAcentral lists this ribosomal RNA (253 nucleotides) under uncultured bacterium. RNAcentral describes it as "partial 16S ribosomal RNA". It matches the Rfam family "Bacterial small subunit ribosomal RNA", at positions 524 to 776 of the family's 1533-position model. The record is from RNAcentral.
AACGUAGGGCGCAAGCGUUGUCCGGAAUUAUUGGGCGUAAAGAGCUCGUAGGCGGUCUGUUGCGUCCGCUGUGAAAACUCGGGGCUUAACCCCGAGCCUGCAGUGGAUACGGGCAGACUAGAGGUAGGUAGGGGAGAAUGGAAUUCCCGGUGUAGCGGUGAAAUGCGCAGAUAUCGGGAGGAACGCCGGUGGCGAAAGCGACUGUCUGGGGUGCUUGUGACGCUGAGGCGCGAAAGCCAGGGGAUCAAACGGG